UACGGAAGGCAGCAGUGGGGAAUAUUGCACAAUGGGCGCAAGCCUGAUGCAGCCAUGCCGCGUGUAUGAAGAAGGCCUUCGGGUUGUAAAGUACUUUCAGUCGUGAGGAAGGUGUUAAGGUUAAUAACCUUAGCAAUUGACGUUAGCGACAGAGGAAGCACCGGCUAACUCCGUGCCAGCAGCCGCGGUAAUACGGAGGGUGCGAGCGUUAAUCGGAAUUACUGGGCGUAAAGGGCACGCAGGCGGUUAAUUAAGUUGGAUGUGAAAUCCCCGGGCUUAACCUGGGAAUGGCAUUCAAGACUGGUUAGCUAGAGUCUUGUAGAGGGGGUAGAAUUCCAUGUGUAGCGGUGAAAUGCGUAGAGAUGUGGAGGAAUACCGGUGGCGAAGGCGGCCCCUGGACAAAGACUGACGCUCAUGUGCGAAAGCGUGGGGAGCAAACG
This 440-nucleotide ribosomal RNA is filed under the name uncultured bacterium. RNAcentral describes it as "bacterial SSU rRNA". It matches the Rfam family "Bacterial small subunit ribosomal RNA", at positions 340 to 774 of the family's 1533-position model. The record is from RNAcentral.